GCAGAUAUGGCCGAGUGGUUAAGGCGUCUGACUUGAAAUCAGAUUCCCUCUGGGAGCGCAAGUUCAAAUCUUGCUAUCUGCG
RNAcentral lists this transfer RNA (82 nucleotides) under Mayetiola destructor (Hessian fly). RNAcentral's name for it is "tRNA-Ser for anticodon UGA". It matches the Rfam family "tRNA". From Rfam's summary of the family: Transfer RNA (tRNA) molecules are approximately 80 nucleotides in length. Their secondary structure includes four short double-helical elements and three loops (D, anti-codon, and T loops). The record is from RNAcentral. Lineage: Eukaryota; Metazoa; Arthropoda; Insecta; Diptera; Cecidomyiidae.